This 727-nucleotide long non-coding RNA is filed under the name Pandoravirus celtis. RNAcentral describes it as "hypothetical ncRNA". The record is from RNAcentral.
CACCUCGACAUGCUCCUGGCGCGCCCACCUCUUGAUGGUCGACGGGGCCAGCGGGUCGACGAGAUGUACGGCAGCCGGCGGCACGACAAAGCGUCGCGCCGGCACGGGCUCGGACGAGAGUAUGUCGACGACGCCGCCGUAGCAAUCGGCUGACCAUACGUGUGGCCGUGCCAAUUCGACACGGCGCAUAGGCCACGUGACGCGGUCGGCAUCAGCCACGGUGACCAUGGUGCGCAGCACGCACGCGUCGCACACGUUGCGCGCGCGUGCAUCGCCCGGCAGCCCGUCGUCGCAGAUCCACUGGCGCACGCGUCGUUGUUCCAAAUGGCCACAGGCGUCACACCAGGCCACCAGCGGAUCGACCCACAGCGCGUCCCACGACGGCGACUUGCGCUCCCAGCGGUCGAUGGCGUCGUCCAUGGCCGCGCGGGCGGCACUCCACACGGCGGUGACGCGACGCAUGGCCAGGGCGCGCAAGCCGCUGCACACGGCGCCCAGCACAGCGGUCGACCGCCGGUUGCACAUGGCCAUGAUGUGGUCCCAGAUCUCGGGCGGCAACGCGGGCGCCGCAUCCAUUCACCCGGUGUGAUUACAACAACACACGCCGUUGGCGAAGCGCCGCCCACAGAGCACUCGCCCCAACCCUUGGGGUAUGAUGAGGCCGGACAAAGAAUAUGAGCAGACCCGGACGACGCCCAAAAAAAAGGCGGACGUGGCAAUAAAAAAC